This 468-nucleotide ribosomal RNA is filed under the name uncultured bacterium. RNAcentral describes it as "partial 16S ribosomal RNA". It matches the Rfam family "Bacterial small subunit ribosomal RNA", at positions 28 to 507 of the family's 1533-position model. The record is from RNAcentral.
GACGAACGCUGGCGGCGUGCUUAACACAUGCAAGUCGAACGGAAAGGCCCUGCUUUUGUGGGGUGCUCGAGUGGCGAAAGGGUGAGUAACACGUGAGUAACCGGCCCUUGACUUUGGGAUAACUUCAGGAAACGGGUGCUAAUACCGGAUAGGAGCUCCUGCUGCAUGGUGGGGGUUGGAAAGUUUCGGUGGUUGGGGAUGGACUCGGGGCUUGUCAGCUUGGUGGUUGGGUAGUGGCUUACCAAGGCUUUGACGGGUAGCCGGCCUGAGAGGGUGACCGGACACAUUGGGACUGAGAUACGACCCAGACUCCUACGGGAGGCAGGAGUGGGGAAUAUUGCACAAGGGGCGGAAGGCUGGUGCAGCCACGCCGCGUGGGGGAUGACGGCAUUCGGGUUGUAAACCGCUUUCGCCUGUGACGAAGCGUGAGUGACGGUAAUGGGUAAAGAAGCACCGGCUAACUACGUG